GACAGAGGGGGCAAGCGUUGCUCGGAAUUACUGGGCGUAAAGGGUGCGUAGGCGGGAUGGCAAGUCGGUCGUGAAAUCCCUCGGCUCAACCGAGGAACGUCGAUCGAUACUGCUGUUCUUGAGGAUUGCAGAGGAGACUGGAAUUCCCGGUGUAGCGGUGAAAUGCGUAGAUAUCUGGAGGAACACCGGUGGCGAAGGCGGCAUCCUGGACCAACACUGACGCUGAGGAGCGAAAGCCAGGGGAGCAAACGGG
Molecule: ribosomal RNA, 253 nt
Filed under: uncultured bacterium
Lineage: Bacteria
Description: partial 16S ribosomal RNA
Rfam family: Bacterial small subunit ribosomal RNA
Source: RNAcentral